CGGUUGAUCCUGCCGGAGGUUACUGCUAUCGGAGUUCGAUUAAGCCAUGCGAGUCUAAAGGUUUCUUCGGAAGCCUUGGCGGACUGCUCAGUAACACGUGGAUAACCUACCCUUGGGACUGGAAUAACCCCGGGAAACUGGGGAUAAUACCGGAUAGAUCAGGGAUGCUGGAAUGCACCUUGAUCCAAAGCUCCGGCGCCCAAGGAUGGGUCUGCGGCCUAUCAGGUUGUAGUGGGUGUAACGUACCUACUAGCCGACGACGGGUACGGGUUGUGAGAGCAAGAGCCCGGAGAUGGAUUCUGAGACACGAAUCCAGGCCCUACGGGGUGCAGCAGGCGCGAAACCUUUACAAUGUGCGAAAGCAUGAUAAGGGAACUCCGAGUGCCAGUAUCUAAUACUGGCUGUCCUUGUGCCUAAACCGCACAAGAUAGCAAGGGCCGGGUAAGACCGGUGCCAGCCGCCGCGGUAACACCGGCGGCCCGAGUGGUAGCCGCUAUUAUUGGGUCUAAAGGGUCCGUAGCCGGUUCGAUAAGUCCUCUGGGAAAUCUGGUUGCUUAACAAUCAGACUGCCAAGGGAUACUGUUGAACUUGAGACCGGGAGAGGUAAGAGGUACUUCANGGGUAGGAGUGAAAUCUUGUAAUCCCUGGGGGACCAUCUGUGGCGAANGCGUCUUACCAGAACGGGUCUGACGGUGAGGGACGAAAGCUGGGGGCGCAAACCGGAUUAGAUACCCGGGUAGUCCCAGCCGUNNACGAUGCUCGCUAUGUGUCNNUACGGUGUGACCGUAUCUGGUGCCGUANGGAAGCCGUGAAGCGAGCCACCUGGGAAGUACGGUCGCAAGACUGAAACUUAAAGGAAUUGGCGGGGGAGCAC
This 874-nucleotide ribosomal RNA is filed under the name uncultured archaeon. RNAcentral's name for it is "bacterial SSU rRNA". It matches the Rfam family "Archaeal small subunit ribosomal RNA", at positions 5 to 879 of the family's 1478-position model. The record is from RNAcentral.